GGUUAAGCGACUAAGCGUACACGGUGGAUGCCCUGGCAGUCAGAGGCGAUGAAGGACGUGCUAAUCUGCGAAAAGCGUCGGUAAGGUGAUAUGAACCGUUAUAACCGGCGAUGUCCGAAUGGGGAAACCCAGUGUGAUUCGUCACACUAUCGUUAACUGAAUACAUAGGUUAACGAGGCGAACCGGGGGAACUGAAACAUCUAAGUACCCCGAGGAAAAGAAAUCAACCGAGAUUCCCCCAGUAGCGGCGAGCGAACGGGGAGCAGCCCAGAGUCUGAAUCAGCUUGUGUGUUAGUGGAACGGUCUGGAAAGUCCGACGGUACAGGGUGAUAGUCCCGUACACCAAAAUGCACAGGCUGUGAACUCGAAGAGUAGGGCGGGACACGUGGUAUCCUGUCUGAAUAUGGGGGGACCAUCCUCCAAGGCUAAAUACUCCUGACUGACCGAUAGUGAACCAGUACCGUGAGGGAAAGGCGAAAAGAACCCCGGCGAGGGGAGUGAAAAAGAACCUGAAACCGUGUACGUACAAGCAGUGGGAGCACCUUCGGGUGUGACUGCGUACCUUUUGUAUAAUGGGUCAGCGACUUAUAUUCUGUAGCAAGGUUAACCGUAUAGGGGAGCCGCAGGGAAACCGAGUCUUAACUGGGCGUUAAGUUGCAGGGUAUAGACCCGAAACCCGGUGAUCUAGCCAUGGGCAGGUUGAAGGUUGGGUAACACUAACUGGAGGACCGAACCGACUAAUGUUGAAAAAUUAGCGGAUGACUUGUGGCUGGGGGUGAAAGGCCAAUCAAACCGGGAGAUAGCUGGUUCUCCCCGAAAGCUAUUUAGGUAGCGCCUCGUGAAUUCAUCUUCGGGGGUAGAGCACUGUUUCGGCUAGGGGGUCAUCCCGACUUACCAACCCGAUGCAAACUACGAAUACCGAAGAAUGUUAUCACGGGAGACACACGGCGGGUGCUAACGUCCGUCGUGAAGAGGGAAACAACCCAGACCGCCAGCUAAGGUCCCAAAGUCAUGGUUAAGUGGGAAACGAUGUGGGAAGGCACAGACAGCCAGGAUGUUGGCUUAGAAGCAGCCAUCAUUUAAAGAAAGCGUAAUAGCUCACUGGUCGAGUCGGCCUGCGCGGAAGAUGUAACGGGGCUAAACCAUGCACCGAAGCUGCGGCAGCGACACUAUGUGUUGUUGGGUAGGGGAGCGUUCUGUAAGCCUGCGAAGGUGUGCUGUGAGGCAUGCUGGAGGUAUCAGAAGUGCGAAUGCUGACAUAAGUAACGAUAAAGCGGGUGAAAAGCCCGCUCGCCGGAAGACCAAGGGUUCCUGUCCAACGUUAAUCGGGGCAGGGUGAGUCGACCCCUAAGGCGAGGCCGAAAGGCGUAGUCGAUGGGAAACAGGUUAAUAUUCCUGUACUUGGUGUUACUGCGAAGGGGGGACGGAGAAGGCUAUGUUAGCCGGGCGACGGUUGUCCCGGUUUAAGCAUGUAGGCUGAUUAUCCAGGCAAAUCCGGAUAAUCAAGGCUGAGGUGUGAUGACGAGGCACUACGGUGCUGAAGUAACAAAUGCCCUGCUUCCAGGAAAAGCCUCUAAGCAUCAGGUAACAUCAAAUCGUACCCCAAACCGACACAGGUGGUCAGGUAGAGAAUACCAAGGCGCUUGAGAGAACUCGGGUGAAGGAACUAGGCAAAAUGGUGCCGUAACUUCGGGAGAAGGCACGCUGGUGUGUAGGUGAAGUCCCUGCGGAUGGAGCUGAGACCAGUCGAAGAUACCAGCUGGCUGCAACUGUUUAUUAAAAACACAGCACUGUGCAAACACGAAAGUGGACGUAUACGGUGUGACGCCUGCCCGGUGCCGGAAGGUUAAUUGAUGGGGUUAUCCGUAAGGAGAAGCUCUUGAUCGAAGCCCCGGUAAACGGCGGCCGUAACUAUAACGGUCCUAAGGUAGCGAAAUUCCUUGUCGGGUAAGUUCCGACCUGCACGAAUGGCGUAAUGAUGGCCAGGCUGUCUCCACCCGAGACUCAGUGAAAUUGAACUCGCUGUGAAGAUGCAGUGUACCCGCGGCAAGACGGAAAGACCCCGUGAACCUUUACUAUAGCUUGACACUGAACAUUGAGCCUUGAUGUGUAGGAUAGGUGGGAGGCUUUGAAGCGUGGACGCCAGUCUGCGUGGAGCCAACCUUGAAAUACCACCCUUUAAUGUUUGAUGUUCUAACGUUGGCCCCUGACCGGGGUUGCGGACAGUGUCUGGUGGGUAGUUUGACUGGGGCGGUCUCCUCCCAAAGCGUAACGGAGGAGCACGAAGGUUAGCUAAUCCUGGUCGGACAUCAGGAGGUUAGUGCAAUGGCAUAAGCUAGCUUGACUGCGAGCGUGACGGCGCGAGCAGGUGCGAAAGCAGGUCAUAGUGAUCCGGUGGUUCUGAAUGGAAGGGCCAUCGCUCAACGGAUAAAAGGUACUCCGGGGAUAACAGGCUGAUACCGCCCAAGAGUUCAUAUCGACGGCGGUGUUUGGCACCUCGAUGUCGGCUCAUCACAUCCUGGGGCUGAAGUAGGUCCCAAGGGUAUGGCUGUUCGCCAUUUAAAGUGGUACGCGAGCUGGGUUUAGAACGUCGUGAGACAGUUCGGUCCCUAUCUGCCGUGGGCGCUGGAGAAUUGAGGGGGGCUGCUCCUAGUACGAGAGGACCGGAGUGGACGCAUCACUGGUGUUCGGGUUGUCAUGCCAAUGGCACUGCCCGGUAGCUAAAUGCGGAAGAGAUAAGUGCUGAAAGCAUCUAAGCACGAAACUUGCCCCGAGAUGAGUUCUCCCUGAGACUUUAAGUCUCCUGAAGGAACGUUAAAGACGAUGACGUUGAUAGGCCGGGUGUGUAAGCGCAGCGAUGCGUUGAGCUAACCGGUACUAAUGAACCGUGAGGCUUAACCUU
This 2902-nucleotide ribosomal RNA is filed under the name Klebsiella pneumoniae. RNAcentral's name for it is "23S ribosomal RNA". It matches the Rfam family "Bacterial large subunit ribosomal RNA". The record is from RNAcentral. Lineage: Bacteria; Pseudomonadati; Pseudomonadota; Gammaproteobacteria; Enterobacterales; Enterobacteriaceae.